GUGUGCGUUCAUACCAACACUAAUGCAUCGGAUCCCAUUGGAACUCCGAAGUUAAGCGUGCUUGGGAGAGAAUUGUACGAAGAUGGGCCUAUCACAUGACUUUCACAGACACAGGCU
This is a ribosomal RNA of Cephalotus follicularis, 117 nucleotides long. Lineage: Eukaryota; Viridiplantae; Streptophyta; Magnoliopsida; Oxalidales; Cephalotaceae. The record is from Rfam.